Molecule: long non-coding RNA, 928 nt
Filed under: Homo sapiens (human)
Lineage: Eukaryota; Metazoa; Chordata; Mammalia; Primates; Hominidae
Description: HSALNT0338998
Source: RNAcentral
CUGGGUGGGAGGCGAUGGUGGCUGAACGCAGAAUGGAAGCUCUGCAGGGUUUCUGUCGGAGGCUGGUGGAGAAAGCUGCUGGCAGCCAGCCCGUGUGCAAGGGGAGCAGAGAGAAGGCUCAUUCCAGGACUCAGUAGAAAGGUCACUUCCUCCAGUGCCAGCGUGUCUGUCCCAUCUCACCACUUCCUAUGGGGCUUUUAUCUUCGCUUGGACCUGUGAGUUCCCAGAGGCCAGCUUUGUGUGUCCUGCUCACUGCUGUACCGCCAAGUCCUGGGGUAGCCACUCUGCAAGGCUUCGGAACGUCCAAUCAAUGCAGUAAAUCCUGGAGAGGGGGAAGACACAGCGGUCCCCUUCCAAGGAGCUGGGACUACAGGCACCAUGAUGGAUCCUGGGAAUGAUGAUAAUGAACGCAAUAGAUACAGCCUCUAUUCUUAGACAUCUUGCAUGUAUCAGGGAAGACAGGCACCAAGGCAUACUUACAACCAAAGCAUUCCACGACCAUGUGAUCCAGGAGAAUUCCAGGGUCAAGAGCCAGGGUAUUGGAAGCCAACCUGUCUACAGGUGACCAACACUGAACUUACUUUGGGAAACACUGUUCUAGGGUAAGAGGUCUCAUGUAUUUUUGGUGGGGAGAUCUUUUCAUGACUGAAAGACUCAAAAGGCCAUUUUUAUCCUCUGCCGUUGCAUAUUCUUCUAGAAGAAUGUUUCUGCUUCUGUGAGAUGCAAAAAAGCAAUGUUCAGAUUUGUAUUACCUUUAUACGCAAAUCAUUUCACAUCAGGAACGAAUGCAGCACUUUCAAAUUGGGAGUCACAAAAGCCUGCUGAAAGGUGUUUGUGGAGUGCAGGGUGGGAAGGUCCUUGUAUUAGUUCAUUUUCACACUGCUGAUAAAGACAUACCCAAGACUGAGUGAUUCAUAAAGACAAAGAG